CAUUCACGGAGAGUUUGAUCCUGGCUCAGGACGAACGCUGGCGGCGUGCUUAACACAUGCAAGUCGAACGAUGAACCACUUCGGUGGGGAUUAGUGGCGAACGGGUGAGUAACACGUGGGCAAUCUGCCCUUCACUCUGGGACAAGCCCUGGAAACGGGGUCUAAUACCGGAUAACACCUUCCCUCUCCUGAGGGAGGGUUAAAAGCUCCGGCGGUGAAGGAUGAGCCCGCGGCCUAUCAGCUUGUUGGUGAGGUAAUGGCUCACCAAGGCGACGACGGGUAGCCGGCCUG
RNAcentral lists this ribosomal RNA (291 nucleotides) under Streptomyces sp. SID339. Its description in RNAcentral is "partial 16S ribosomal RNA". It matches the Rfam family "Bacterial small subunit ribosomal RNA", at positions 1 to 294 of the family's 1533-position model. The record is from RNAcentral. Lineage: Bacteria; Bacillati; Actinomycetota; Actinomycetes; Kitasatosporales; Streptomycetaceae.